RNAcentral lists this unclassified non-coding RNA (357 nucleotides) under uncultured fungus. RNAcentral's name for it is "sequence contains 5.8S rRNA gene". The stretch from base 1 to 53 matches the Rfam family "5.8S ribosomal RNA", at positions 102 to 154 of the family's 154-position model. The record is from RNAcentral. Lineage: Eukaryota; Fungi.
GAACGCAUAUUGCGCUCUUUGGUAUUCCGAAGAGCAUGCUUGUUUGAGUAUCAGUAAACACCUCAAAGCUUUUGAUUUUUUUUUAAAAGUUUUGGACUUGAGCAAUCCCAACACCAAUCUUUUUCAGAUCGGCGGCGGGUUGCUUGAAAUGCAGGUGCAGCUGGACAUUCUCCUGAGCUAAAAGCAUAUUUAUUUAGUCCCGUCAAACGGAUUAUUACUUUUUGCUGCAGCUAACAUAAAGGGAGUUUUGACCAUUAUGGCUGACUGAUGAAGGAUUUCACAGAGAAAAGGCCGGCAACGGUUUUGUCUCUGUCAAACUCGAUCUCAAAUCAAGUAAGACUACCCGCUGAACUUAAG